RNAcentral lists this ribosomal RNA (1432 nucleotides) under uncultured organism. RNAcentral's name for it is "16S ribosomal RNA". It matches the Rfam family "Bacterial small subunit ribosomal RNA". The record is from RNAcentral.
CGACAGGCUUAACACAUGCAAGUCGAGGGGCAGCACAGGUAGUAAUACCGGGUGGCGACCGGCGCACGGGUGAGUAACGCGUAUGCAACUUACCUAUCAGAGGGGGAUAACCCGGCGAAAGUCGGACUAAUACCGCAUGAAGCAGGGGCCCCGCAUGGGGAUAUUUGCUAAAGAUUCAUCGCUGAUAGAUAGGCAUGCGUUCCAUUAGGCAGUUGGCGGGGUAACGGCCCACCAAACCGACGAUGGAUAGGGGUUCUGAGAGGAAGGUCCCCCACAUUGGUACUGAGACACGGACCAAACUCCUACGGGAGGUAGCAGUGAGGAAUAUUGGUCAAUGGCCGAGAGGCUGAACCAGCCAAGUCGCGUGAGGGAUGAAGGUUCUAUGGAUCGUAAACCUCUUUUAUAAGGGAAUAAAGUGCGGGACGUGUCCCGUUUUGUAUGUACCUUAUGAAUAAGGAUCGGCUAACUCCGUGCCAGCAGCCGCGGUAAUACGGAGGAUCCGAGCGUUAUCCGGAUUUAUUGGGUUUAAAGGGUGCGUAGGCGGCCUUUUAAGUCAGCGGUGAAAGUCUGUGGCUCAACCAUAGAAUUGCCGUUGAAACUGGGGGGCUUGAGUAUGUUUGAGGCAGGCGGAAUGCGUGGUGUAGCGGUGAAAUGCAUAGAUAUCACGCAGAACCCCGAUUGCGAAGGCAGCCUGCCAAGCCAUUACUGACGCUGAUGCACGAAAGCGUGGGGAUCAAACAGGAUUAGAUACCCUGGUAGUCCACGCAGUAAACGAUGAUCACUAGCUGUUUGCGAUACACUGUAAGCGGCACAGCGAAAGCGUUAAGUGAUCCACCUGGGGAGUACGCCGGCAACGGUGAAACUCAAAGGAAUUGACGGGGGCCCGCACAAGCGGAGGAACAUGUGGUUUAAUUCGAUGAUACGCGAGGAACCUUACCCGGGUUUGAACGCAUUCGGACCGAGGUGGAAACACCUUUUCUAGCAAUAGCCGUUUGCGAGGUGCUGCAUGGUUGUCGUCAGCUCGUGCCGUGAGGUGUCGGCUUAAGUGCCAUAACGAGCGCAACCCUUGCCACUAGUUACUAACAGGUGAUGCUGAGGACUCUGGUGGGACUGCCAGCGUAAGCUGCGAGGAAGGCGGGGAUGACGUCAAAUCAGCACGGCCCUUACAUCCGGGGCGACACACGUGUUACAAUGGCGUGGACAAAGGGAGGCCACCUGGCGACAGGGAGCGAAUCCCCAAACCACGUCUCAGUUCGGAUCGGAGUCUGCAACCCGACUCCGUGAAGCUGGAUUCGCUAGUAAUCGCGCAUCAGCCAUGGCGCGGUGAAUACGUUCCCGGGCCUUGUACACACCGCCCGUCAAGCCAUGGGAGCCGGGGGUACCUGAAGUCCGUAACCGAAAGGAUCGGCCUAGGGUAAAACUGGUGACUGGG